CUUGGUCAUAUGAUGAUUACAAGCAUAGUUCAACUGAUAAUCUCUGUGAUUAUACAAAACCUUUUAGUCUUUCGCUCCUAUCUGAUGACCUCG
Molecule: non-coding RNA, 93 nt
Organism: Populus trichocarpa (black cottonwood)
Lineage: Eukaryota; Viridiplantae; Streptophyta; Magnoliopsida; Malpighiales; Salicaceae
Source: Rfam